This 490-nucleotide ribosomal RNA is filed under the name uncultured bacterium. RNAcentral describes it as "partial 16S ribosomal RNA". It matches the Rfam family "Bacterial small subunit ribosomal RNA", at positions 29 to 507 of the family's 1533-position model. The record is from RNAcentral.
AGUGAACGCUGGCGGUAGGCCUAACACAUGCAAGUCGAACGGCAGCACAGUAAGGGCUUGCUCUUACGGGUGGCGAGUGGCGGACGGGUGAGGAAUACAUCGGAAUCUACUUUUUCGUGGGGGAUAACGUAGGGAAACUUACGCUAAUACCGCAUACGACCUACGGGUGAAAGCAGGGGAUCUUCGGACCUUGCGCGAUUGAAUGAGCCGAUGUCGGAUUAGCUAGUUGGCGGGGUAAAGGCCCACCAAGGCGACGAUCCGUAGCUGGUCUGAGAGGAUGAUCAGACACACUAGAACUGAGACACGGUCGAGACUCCUACGGGAGGCAGCAGUGGGAAAUAUUAGACAAUGGGCGCAAGCCUGAUCCAGCCAUACCGCGUGGGUGAAGAAGGCCUUCGGGUUGUAGCCCUUUUGUUGGGAAAGAAAAGCAGCAGGUUAAUACCCCGCUGUUCUGACGGUACCCAAAGAAUAAGCACCGGCUAACUUCGUG